AAAGGGUGUGUAGGCGGCCAUGUAAGUCAGUUGUGAAAGCCCCGGGCUCAACCCGGGAAGUGCUUCUGAUACUGCUUGGCUUGAGUAUUGGAUAGGUGAGUGGAAUUCCAGGUGUAGUGGUGAAAUACGUAGAUAUCUGGAGGAACACCGGCGGCGAAGGCGGCUCACUGGCCAUAUACUGACGCUGAAACACGAAAGCGUGGGUAGCAAACAGGAUUAGAUACCCUAGU
Molecule: ribosomal RNA, 230 nt
Filed under: uncultured bacterium
Lineage: Bacteria
Description: partial 16S ribosomal RNA
Rfam family: Bacterial small subunit ribosomal RNA
Source: RNAcentral